RNAcentral lists this small RNA (704 nucleotides) under Arabidopsis thaliana (thale cress). RNAcentral's name for it is "ATSL177310". Lineage: Eukaryota; Viridiplantae; Streptophyta; Magnoliopsida; Brassicales; Brassicaceae. The record is from RNAcentral.
AUAACAUACUUACUCAAGAUAGGCAACAAGAAGUAGAGCAAAUCGAUCUUCACAACGAACUUCAAGAUCUCAGGAGCUAGCAGAAAAGAGAAAACACAUGAUCGCAUUAAAUAUAAAACAAUUUAUGAUACGAGAUAGCUGCAAUUGAAAAAGGGAUUGUGACACGUUUAGGCACUUUUAAAGAAUUUUAUUCCUUUUGAGGCACUUGUGAGGGAUAAGGCACUUUUCCAACUUUUUCAUUAAACUUUUGACCAAUUUGCCCCUGAAAAUUAAGAAAUUAUUAUUUAAAAAAAAGUUUCAUCUCUCCACAUUCCUUUUUUUUUUCUUUCUUCUUCCUCGCUUCUUCUUUUCACUCGCUCUCUCUCUUCUCAUUAUUACUUUUUUCUUUCCUUGCAAAAUCAACCAUUUGAGAGUUUGUCAAAAUCGUGUAGCUUCUAUAUUUUUCUCUACGGAGAAACCUUUCUAGAUUUAUGUGACGAUUGCUUGUUCGAUUGAAGUUCUGAAGUUUUGGAGCGUUAGCGCAUGUAACGAAUGGCGGAAGCUCAGGUUUUGCAACCAGUAACAUCUAGAGGUGAAAAAUAAGAAGAUUUGUUCCCUCAAUUUUACAACCAAUCGAUCAAGGUAUUGCUUUCGCCCCGACGAUUCCUCAAUUUUGUGAACAUAAUUUUAAGUUUUGCUAGAUUAUGUUGUACUUGUUUCAUAUU